AGAUACCCUAUUAUUAAAGAGCCAUAUAUUGUUAGUAAAUAGUUAUUACGAAAGCAAAAAAUUAUGGCGGUAUUUUAAGCUUUUCAGAGGAAUUUGCUCUUUAAUGGAUAAAACACCUAAAUCUUACUUGAAUUUGUUAAGUCAAUUUGUAUACCACUAUAAAAUUAAUUAUUUGCUUUAAUUAAUAAAGUUUAUAAUUUUUAAAACAAAUUAAGUCAAGGUGCAGUAAAAAUUUAAGAAUGAAGUGAAUUACAUUUCUUUUAAGAGAUUAAUGCAAUUAAAAAUAGAAUUAGGAUUUGAAAGUAAAAUUAAAAUAUAAUGUUAAUUUGAAUAAAGCUCUAAAAUAUGUACAUAUCGCCCGUCACUCUUUAUUAAGAUAA
RNAcentral lists this ribosomal RNA (380 nucleotides) under Rhipicephalus evertsi evertsi. RNAcentral's name for it is "partial 12S ribosomal RNA". The record is from RNAcentral. Lineage: Eukaryota; Metazoa; Arthropoda; Arachnida; Ixodida; Ixodidae.